Molecule: ribosomal RNA, 501 nt
Filed under: Mycobacterium sp. P50
Lineage: Bacteria; Bacillati; Actinomycetota; Actinomycetes; Mycobacteriales; Mycobacteriaceae
Also listed under: 1 other name
Description: bacterial SSU rRNA
Rfam family: Bacterial small subunit ribosomal RNA
Source: RNAcentral
AGUUUGAUCCUGGCUCAGGACGAACGCUGGCGGCGUGCUUAACACAUGCAAGUCGAACGGAAAGGCCCCUUCGGGGGUACUCGAGUGGCGAACGGGUGAGUAACACGUGGGUAAUCUGCCCUGCACUUCGGGAUAAGCCUGGGAAACUGGGUCUAAUACCGGAUAGGACCUCGAGGCGCAUGCCUUUUGGUGGAAAGCUUUUGCGGUGUGGGAUGGGCCCGCGGCCUAUCAGCUUGUUGGUGGGGUGACGGCCUACCAAGGCGACGACGGGUAGCCGGCCUGAGAGGGUGUCCGGCCACACUGGGACUGAGAUACGGCCCAGACUCCUACGGGAGGCAGCAGUGGGGAAUAUUGCACAAUGGGCGCAAGCCUGAUGCAGCGACGCCGCGUGGGGGAUGACGGCCUUCGGGUUGUAAACCUCUUUCAGCAGGGACGAAGCGCAAGUGACGGUACCUGCAGAAGAAGCACCGGCCAACUACGUGCCAGCAGCCGCGGUAAUAC